GGCUGCGAUGGUUCAUGGUUGAACUACCUGAGACCAGAUAUCAAGAGAGGCAACAUUUCCAAAGAAGAAGAAGAGCUCAUCAUCAGACUUCAUAAGCUGCUCGGUAAUAGACGGUCUCUGAUACCA
This is a long non-coding RNA of Telopea speciosissima, 126 nucleotides long. RefSeq lists it as uncharacterized. The record is from RefSeq and is a predicted model, not a curated record. The transcript is spliced from 3 exons. Lineage: Eukaryota; Viridiplantae; Streptophyta; Magnoliopsida; Proteales; Proteaceae.